GAGUUUGAUCAUGGCUCAGGAUGAACGCUGGCGGCGUGCCUAACUCAUGCAAGUCGAGCGCGGUUGUGCUUAGUAUUGAGUGUUUUAUUGAUAUAAAACAUUGAAUUCUAUGCACAACUGAGCGGCGGACGGGUGAGUAACGCGUGGGUAACCUGCCCUAUACACAUGGAUAACAUACUGAAAAGUUUACUAAUACAUGAUAAAAUAGUUUUUCGGCAUCGAAGAAUUAUCAAAGUGUUAGCGGUAUAGGAUGGACCCGCGUCUGAUUAGCUAGUUGGUGAGAUAACUGCCCACCAAGGCAACGAUCAGUAGCCGACCUGAGAGGGUGAUCGGCCACAUUGGAACUGAGACACGGUCCAAACUCCUACGGGAGGCAGCAGUGGGGAAUAUUGCACAAUGGGCGCAAGCCUGAUGCAGCAACGCCGCGUGAACGAUGAAGGUCUUCGGAUCGUAAAGUUCUGUUGCAGGGGAAGAUAAUGACG
This 482-nucleotide ribosomal RNA is filed under the name Peptostreptococcus sp. canine oral taxon 033. RNAcentral describes it as "bacterial SSU rRNA". It matches the Rfam family "Bacterial small subunit ribosomal RNA", at positions 9 to 456 of the family's 1533-position model. Lineage: Bacteria; Bacillati; Bacillota; Clostridia; Peptostreptococcales; Peptostreptococcaceae. The record is from RNAcentral.